UUAAGCGACUAAGCGUACACGGUGGAUGCCCUGGCAGUCAGAGGCGAUGAAGGACGUGCUAAUCUGCGAUAAGCGUCGGUAAGGUGAUAUGAACCGUUAUAACCGGCGAUUUCCGAAUGGGGAAACCCAGUGUGAUUCGUCACACUAUCAUUAACUGAAUCCAUAGGUUAAUGAGGCGAACCGGGGGAACUGAAACAUCUAAGUACCCCGAGGAAAAGAAAUCAACCGAGAUUCCCCCAGUAGCGGCGAGCGAACGGGGAGCAGCCCAGAGCCUGAAUCAGUGUGUGUGUUAGUGGAAGCGUCUGGAAAGGCGUGCGAUACAGGGUGACAGCCCCGUACACAAAAAUGCACAUGCUGUGAGCUCGAUGAGUAGGGCGGGACACGUGGUAUCCUGUCUGAAUAUGGGGGGACCAUCCUCCAAGGCUAAAUACUCCUGACUGACCGAUAGUGAACCAGUACCGUGAGGGAAAGGCGAAAAGAACCCCGGCGAGGGGAGUGAAAAAGAACCUGAAACCGUGUACGUACAAGCAGUGGGAGCACNNNNNNNNNNGUGUGACUGCGUACCUUUUGUAUAAUGGGUCAGCGACUUAUAUUCUGUAGCAAGGUUAACCGAAUAGGGGAGCCGAAGGGAAACCGAGUCUUAACUGGGCGUUAAGUUGCAGGGUAUAGACCCGAAACCCGGUGAUCUAGCCAUGGGCAGGUUGAAGGUUGGGUAACACUAACUGGAGGACCGAACCGACUAAUGUUGAAAAAUUAGCGGAUGACUUGUGGCUGGGGGUGAAAGGCCAAUCAAACCGGGAGAUAGCUGGUUCUCCCCGAAAGCUAUUUAGGUAGCGCCUCGUGAAUUCAUCUCCGGGGGUAGAGCACUGUUUCGGCAAGGGGGUCAUCCCGACUUACCAACCCGAUGCAAACUGCGAAUACCGGAGAAUGUUAUCACGGGAGACACACGGCGGGUGCUAACGUCCGUCGUGAAGAGGGAAACAACCCAGACCGCCAGCUAAGGUCCCAAAGUCAUGGUUAAGUGGGAAACGAUGUGGGAAGGCCCAGACAGCCAGGAUGUUGGCUUAGAAGCAGCCAUCAUUUAAAGAAAGCGUAAUAGCUCACUGGUCGAGUCGGCCUGCGCGGAAGAUGUAACGGGGCUAAACCAUGCACCGAAGCUGCGGCAGCGACGCUUAUGCGUUGUUGGGUAGGGGAGCGUUCUGUAAGCCUGCGAAGGUGUGCUGUGAGGCAUGCUGGAGGUAUCAGAAGUGCGAAUGCUGACAUAAGUAACGAUAAAGCGGGUGAAAAGCCCGCUCGCCGGAAGACCAAGGGUUCCUGUCCAACGUUAAUCGGGGCAGGGUGAGUCGACCCCUAAGGCGAGGCCGAAAGGCGUAGUCGAUGGGAAACAGGUUAAUAUUCCUGUACUUGGUGUUACUGCGAAGGGGGGACGGAGAAGGCUAUGUUGGCCGGGCGACGGUUGUCCCGGUUUAAGCGUGUAGGCUGGUUUUCCAGGCAAAUCCGGAAAAUCAAGGCUGAGGCGUGAUGACGAGGCACUACGGUGCUGAAGCAACAAAUGCCCUGCUUCCAGGAAAAGCCUCUAAGCAUCAGGUAACAUCAAAUCGUACCCCAAACCGACACAGGUGGUCAGGUAGAGAAUACCAAGGCGCUUGAGAGAACUCGGGUGAAGGAACUAGGCAAAAUGGUGCCGUAACUUCGGGAGAAGGCACGCUGAUAUGUAGGUGAAGUCCCUCGCGGAUGGAGCUGAAAUCAGUCGAAGAUACCAGCUGGCUGCAACUGUUUAUUAAAAACACAGCACUGUGCAAACACGAAAGUGGACGUAUACGGUGUGACGCCUGCCCGGUGCCGGAAGGUUAAUUGAUGGGGUUAGCGCAAGCGAAGCUCUUGAUCGAAGCCCCGGUAAACGGCGGCCGUAACUAUAACGGUCCUAAGGUAGCGAAAUUCCUUGUCGGGUAAGUUCCGACCUGCACGAAUGGCGUAAUGAUGGCCAGGCUGUCUCCACCCGAGACUCAGUGAAAUUGAACUCGCUGUGAAGAUGCAGUGUACCCGCGGCAAGACGGAAAGACCCCGUGAACCUUUACUAUAGCUUGACACUGAACAUUGAGCCUUGAUGUGUAGGAUAGGUGGGAGGCUUUGAAGUGUGGACGCCAGUCUGCAUGGAGCCGACCUUGAAAUACCACCCUUUAAUGUUUGAUGUUCUAACGUUGACCCGUAAUCCGGGUUGCGGACAGUGUCUGGUGGGUAGUUUGACUGGGGCGGUCUCCUCCUAAAGAGUAACGGAGGAGCACGAAGGUUGGCUAAUCCUGGUCGGACAUCAGGAGGUUAGUGCAAUGGCAUAAGCCAGCUUGACUGCGAGCGUGACGGCGCGAGCAGGUGCGAAAGCAGGUCAUAGUGAUCCGGUGGUUCUGAAUGGAAGGGCCAUCGCUCAACGGAUAAAAGGUACUCCGGGGAUAACAGGCUGAUACCGCCCAAGAGUUCAUAUCGACGGCGGUGUUUGGCACCUCGAUGUCGGCUCAUCACAUCCUGGGGCUGAAGUAGGUCCCAAGGGUAUGGCUGUUCGCCAUUUAAAGUGGUACGCGAGCUGGGUUUAGAACGUCGUGAGACAGUUCGGUCCCUAUCUGCCGUGGGCGCUGGAGAACUGAGGGGGGCUGCUCCUAGUACGAGAGGACCGGAGUGGACGCAUCACUGGUGUUCGGGUUGUCAUGCCAAUGGCACUGCCCGGUAGCUAAAUGCGGAAGAGAUAAGUGCUGAAAGCAUCUAAGCACGAAACUUGCCCCGAGAUGAGUUCUCCCUGACUCCUUGAGAGUCCUGAAGGAACGUUGAAGACGACGACGUUGAUAGGCCGGGUGUGUAAGCGCAGCGAUGCGUUGAGCUAACCGGUACUAAUGAACCGUGAGGCUUAACCUU
Molecule: ribosomal RNA, 2904 nt
Filed under: Escherichia coli
Lineage: Bacteria; Pseudomonadati; Pseudomonadota; Gammaproteobacteria; Enterobacterales; Enterobacteriaceae
Description: bacterial LSU rRNA
Rfam family: Bacterial large subunit ribosomal RNA
Source: RNAcentral